RNAcentral lists this long non-coding RNA (1257 nucleotides) under Serinus canaria (Common canary). Its description in RNAcentral is "lncRNA (ENSSCAG00000001903.1)". Lineage: Eukaryota; Metazoa; Chordata; Aves; Passeriformes; Fringillidae. The record is from RNAcentral.
GCUCCAGCUCGCGGGGGGGAGACUCGGGAUCCAUCUGGGAAAAGAGACCCCAAACCCUUCAGGGAUCGCCCCAAAGCCUUCAGGGGUCACCCCAAAAAUCUUCAGGGAAUCACCCCAAAAACCUAAAGCGAUCGCCCCAAAACCUUCAGGGAAUCACCCCAAAAACCUUCAGGGAAUCACCCCAAAAACCUUCAGGGAAUCACCCCAAAAUGUUCAGGGAAUCACCCCAAAAACCUUCAGGGAAUCACCCCAAAAACCUUCAGGGAACCACCCCAAAAUGUUCCGGGAUCACCCCACAAACCUUCAGGGAAUCACCCCAAAAUGUUCAGGGAUCAUCCCAAAAACCUUCAGAGAUCGCCUGAAAACCCUUCAGCGAAUCACCCCAAAAACCUAAAGCGAUCGCCCCAAAACGUUCAGGGAAUCACCCCAAAACCUUCAGGGAUCGCCCCAAACCCUUCAGGGGUGACCCCAAAAAACCUUCAGGGGUCACCCCGAAAUGUUCAGGGCUCACCCCGAAGCCUUCAGGGAUCGCCCCAAAAGGGUUUGGGCGGGGUUGGACUUUCAUCCCAAACAGCCUCAAGGGGGAUCUCUGAACCCCGACUUUGCCCCUGGCAGGAAAAAUUUCUUAGAGAUCCAGAGGUGCCCCCCACACCCCAAAAGCUCCUCAAUAUCUUUCUAAAGAUCCCCCUAGCCACGCUAAAAUGUUCUUGUGGAGGUUUCAAGCUCCUCUUGAGCACCCAACACCCCCCCGGGAUCCCCAAACCCCUCACAGGACGCCCCAAAAUCCUUCCAGGCCUCGGGGCCCUGCCCCAGCGCCUCCUUGAACAACCAAACCCGCUCUUGGAGGGGAUCUCGAGCCCCCCCCCCCCCGAGCCGCGCACCCAAAGAGCCCCCGGGAACCCCGAAAUUCUCACUGGGACCCUCAAGGUUGUUUGUGUCCCCCAGAAAUCCCCCCCGGAGCCCGAAGCCCCUCAGGCAGGGCGGUACCUCCGCAACGUCCUCGUGACGGGCGUCAGGGGGCUCGGCGGCGCCUUUUAUACUCCGCGAAAACCACGCCCACACCGCGCUGACCACGCCCACCAGAACCGCCACCCCCGGCGCCGCCGAGGCGCCCGCGCCGGGCGGAUCAAAGGGCACGAGGCGGGAGGGGGGCCGGAAACGCCCCGAGGCGAACGGGGCGGGACACAGCCUCAGAGGGCGCGACGUGGAGUCUCUGGUUCGCGCCACGCCUCAGCGGGACGCCUGUUAUGGGAGUCU